Ictalurus punctatus (channel catfish) is the source of this 4328-nucleotide long non-coding RNA. The record is from Ensembl. Lineage: Eukaryota; Metazoa; Chordata; Actinopteri; Siluriformes; Ictaluridae.
AAGUGUUUUAUUCCUCUUAUAUGACAGCAACUUCCCUCCCAGUGAUUGCACGCUUUGCCUGUUAAAGAGCUAUACAUCAUACUUAUUAUCCAUUUAUACCUGUAGAACAGCGUAUUUCCUGUUGUCGCUUACGUUACAGCAGUUGUAAACUCCCCUGUCCUGAAAACCUACAAGCUCUUACAAGCCACCGACGCUGGAGACUCCUUCCGUGAACGUCUCCGACGCAGAAACCUUUUAUGCGCAGCAUCGAUUCCUGUGGAUGAAGCAUUUCCAUAGAAACGAUAACUCUUUUCUGUAUACAGAAAACGAACCAACGCCUUCUGACCAAUCAGGACGGAGAAUUCAACAGCGCCGUGGCGUGAAACGCAUCCCGAUCUGGCUUCCCGUGAUGGGUUUUGAUGCUUUGCGUAGCCGAUAGCACGGGUGUCGGAUCUUAUCCGGGAAGGGCCGGUGUGGGUGCGGGUUUUCAUGCCAGUCGAGCAGGAGCCACACCCGAUUCCGCCCGUUUAAAUCGGCUGAUCUUGAGCUUCCGGUAGACUCGGGUGUGGCCCCCGCUCGGUCGGAAUGAAAACCCGCAGCCACGCCGGAGCUUUCCGGAUAAGAUCCGACACCGUUGCUCUAUAGCCUACAACGACGUCGUUGCGAAACGGCUUAAAACGCCGAGAAACACACAUUUUAAAUGCGUUCGAUUAUCCGUGACUAAUUUUGAGUGUCUGCUAGAAGACAAUGCCGGAUGGAAAUGUGGCACUCCAUUACCUCUCCUGAUUAAGCGUAAAUGUCGAUCGCGGUUAGUCUGAGGCGAGCGUGCAUCUCGUGUGCCUAACUGUCUGUAAAAGAAACGGAAUAAAACACUGCUACGCUGAAGGUAAAGCAGGUAAUGAAACUCCUUUUACACAUCAUUUCACGAUUCGAAGGUGAAUUAUUCAAUUAUUAAUUAAUCCGGUUAAUCAGGCGGCGGGAUUAAGGCCUACCGAUUUCGGAAGCAGGCGCGGCGUUCGCGCUCAGCGUAGCGUGGUGGAUAGAAAAGUUUCUUGGAUGCAUUUAUUUUGGUUUGUGUCACGCCUGAAUAAGAGGAAACUAAAAUAACUACCGAAUAAAAAGCAGAUGAAAAGCAUCGUAUUCACAGAAUCGUAAUGCGUUAAAGCGGCAGGAAGUCUCUGACUGACAUUUCAGCAGGGAGCUGUUUGAGCUAGCGUGCUAAGUGACCGCGUCGUGCUAGCGUCAGACGUUUUUUCUUCUUCUUUUUCUCUACACGAUGCUGUAUUUUCCACGUCCCGAUUCGGAAGAUUGUCUAGCGUCUGUUCGAGCCGAUUACCGGGGUCACGUGAGUAACGCAAGGAGGUGAGGAGCCCUGCAAACAAUUAGCGAUGAGUUGCUUUUAGCGCCACCGAGAGAUACGCGCGCUGAUUAUAGCGUCGUCAGACAAACGGAUCAGGGUAAAGGGUCACACUGUGAAAGCUGACAGGAAGUCGUGUUUCUCCGGCUGUCGGAUGAGUGAAGGAAGGAAGGAAGAAAAAGGACCGACGGAUGUGAAUGGAAAGCUAAUUAGCCUAGAUGUCUAAACUGUUAACGUAGCCUACGUAGCAUGGAGAUUUUUCCCGCGGUAUCAUCAUUACAAAUGAUUUUCUCAAUUAUUAUUUAUUUAUUCGUCCGUUUGUUCUCUUCUGUUUAUCUCCUUUCUUUUCCUCCUCCGGUCUUUAACAGUUCGAAAAACGAGGUCCGUGCGAGGUUUUUUUUUUUUUUUAAAUAAAAAAAACAGGAUAAAAUAACGACUAGGCCGGAGACGUCCAUCAUUCCGUCUCUGAUUGUCUUCGUAACCGCGCGAGCUGCAAUUAUGACAAAAAAUUGAAACUGUCAGGUUGUUUUAUUUUUACUCUUUGACUCUCUCUCUCUCUUUUUUUUUUUUUUUUUCCAGUGACAGAAGCUUUCAAGUAAGAUUACCGUGUGUGAAAUCCUACAAUGUGUAAUUAUACUUAAUCCUCUCUUUCACCAAACCCUGAAAGCCAAAUGACUCUGUUUCAGCGACUCUCCGAGGCGCGUCAGCGUUUCCCGAAUCGCUCCGCGGUUUCGUUCGUUUUUUUUUUUUCAGCUUUCGGCGCCGAUGAGCGGAAAUGUUUGGAUCUGGAAUCUCGGAAAACGCCGCACGAUGUGGUGCGUUACAGUCUGCGAUAACUCCGCAAUGUUAGUCUAAAUUGGAAAUUGUCGACGUUUUUGUACCUUUUAAGUCGUACGGUCCCGUCUCUCUCCAGGCUUCUUUCUCACGACGUUAAAACGGAAUAAUCUCGCGAUCGGUGUGGCGACUUUAAUGACCGUUUCAAUGGAGAUAUUGAUGCUCUCGGUGUGAAUCUGUACGCUGAGACCGUGUCCGCAGAGUUUAAAGGAGUUUAGUGUGUGUGUGUGUGUGUGUGUGUGUGUGAUCCCCUGUGAACUGAGCUGACAUUUAACGAGUUAUUCAACAUCCUGUGUUUUUAUAAAAGAGUUAUAUCUGGCAAACUGUGUGCUUUGACUGACUUUUAUAUGAAAAAAAUGAAUAAUAAUAGUAAUAAAUUGCACGCUGGGCCUCAUUUAUCAAUCUUUGCUUUCAUAGGUCAAGUAAAUACUGGAAUUAAAUACCAGAAAUAAAUAUUCCCAAUAGAUUUACAAAAUUACAGAGAACCACACUGAUGUUUUUCGGACUCGUGCGUUUGCCGACAACCACCAAUCAUCUGUAAACUACAGAGCGUCUUCGUGACAGAUCUACAUUCGGCCACGCCUACAAAACUCCAUAAAAGGCAACCCUCAUAGGGAGUGACUAAGACGGUGGACGAGCGCCUCUUAAGCAUGAAGUCAAGGAAUUGAGGUCCAUCCAUCUUCUAUAUCGCUUGUCCUACUGGGUCGUGGGGAAAUCUGGAGCCUAUCCCAGGGGACAAGGCGGGGUACACCCUGGACAGAGUGCCAAUCUAUCGCAGGGUACGAUCACAUACACACUCACACACCCGUUCCUACACUACGGACACUUUGGACACGCCGAUCCGCCUAUCAUGAAUGUCUUUGGACCGGGGGAGGAAACCGGAGAACCCGGAGGAAACCCCCGCAGCACGGGGAGAACACGCGAACUCCGCCCAGAGAGGGCAGGGUUAGGGUUAGAGCGAACGUGCUAACCGCUAAGCUACCAGGAACUGAGUGUGUGUAAUGGAAAUAAAUAAGUGAGGUCAGAGUAAUCCAUAUUAUAAAAUCGAAGCAACUCAUCAACGGUUAUAUGUUUUGAAGCUGAUCAAUCGAGGUUCCCAUUACCGACUCUCCUUAAGUGAUAUAAAUGUACACAAAUACGACUGGAUUUUCAUGAAACGACAUUUCGUGUCUAAAUCCCCCUGCAAAUAACUGACAAAUAAAUCCAUUCAUAAAUGAGGAUAAAGUGUCUGGAAGUAAAUGUGAAAAAUAUAUCGAAUAUACUGACUGUAAAAGUGUAAUAAACGGUUAACAGUCUGAUCUCGGUUGUCGUUUUUCGCUGUAAUCCUUCACGUAAGUUUCCGUUUUGUUUUGAAAAAGAGAACUCUGCCUUCCAUCGAGCCAUUUUCACAGUAUAUAAUGGAUCACCUCUUACGCCCUCAGAGCACCGAUCGCAGUUUGCGUCCUCUCAUGUUAUUCCCAAAGGCAAGGAGUGCAAAAAGAAAGCUUUCACGUUAGAACUUUUACUCACAACUGACCAGGCUUUUAAUCCCACUGCUCGGUCUCCGAGCGCGGAUCGAUAUCCUAGUCCGCGGCUGACCGCCGUGCGGAAAGUUUGCUUCGAACUGCAUCCGAAGCACUCGAAAAUACCCGAAUCUGACCACAUGGACUGGCAACCUUCCUCGAUUUAGACCUGUUCCAUCCUUGGCAUAAACUUUUUCUUUUUUUUACGUUCUCUUUCAUUUCGCAGGUACAGGAAGUGUGAAUCGCAGUGCCGAAAGAGCGCGGCAGUUUAUUUGGAGCAGGUAUCUCGAGUCACUUUGCUCCUCGGUGUGAUCUCAGACGAGUGAUGAAACGAGGGAUUCAUUUCCUUCAUCCUUUGAGACCGGUGAGUGCAACCAAUCGGAGUCGCUCUCCUCGAUCCCACGGGGAAAUUAUCCCGAAUUCAAAUGUCACUGGAGAUGUCAUGACAGCUGGAUUUGUCCGGGAAAGUAUCGGGCUGUCUUCGUUUGCAUAAUUUCGCCCGACAGGCGUUUAAAGUCGCGUAGAGCGGAACGGAAAGCGGAAGCGGUGAGGGAACUUCGAACACGGGACGUGAGAAACAGGUCCCGCGUCUUUGUUGGUUUCUCAUCGACGUUAUGGAGUCUCUCGUGUUUCGAGGUCCACCAUGUUUGGUCCAG